Molecule: ribosomal RNA, 253 nt
Filed under: uncultured bacterium
Lineage: Bacteria
Description: partial 16S ribosomal RNA
Rfam family: Bacterial small subunit ribosomal RNA
Source: RNAcentral
UACGGAGGGUGCAAGCGUUAUCCGGAUUUACUGGGCGUAAAGAGUGUGUAGGCGGUGCUCCCAGUCUGUUGUGAAAUCUCCCGGCUUAACUGGGAGGGUGCAGCGGAAACUAGAGUGCUAGAGGGUGGGAGAGGUAAGCGGAAUUCCUGGUGUAGCGGUGAAAUGCGUAGAUAUCAGGAGGAACACCUGUGGUGUAGACAGCUUACUGGACCACUUCUGACGCUGAGACACGAAAGCGUGGGUAGCAAACAGG